Molecule: ribosomal RNA, 251 nt
Filed under: uncultured prokaryote
Description: partial 16S rRNA
Rfam family: Bacterial small subunit ribosomal RNA
Source: RNAcentral
ACGGGGGUGGCAAGCGUUACUCGGAAUUAUUGGGUGUAAAGGGCAGGUAGGUGGCUCUAUAAGUGAGGGGUGAAAUCCUGCGGUUUAAUCGCAGAACAGCCUUUCAAACUGUAGAGCUUGAGUGUGACAGAGGAAGAUGGAAUUCCUGGUGUGAGGGUUAAUUCUUUAGAUAUCAGGAAGAACACCAAAGGCGAAGGCAAUCUUCUGAGUCACUUCUGACACUGAGCUGCGUAAGCUAGUGGAGCAAACAG